GAUGAAGAACGUAGCGAAAUGCGAUAAGUAGUGUGAAUUGCAGAAUUCAGUGAAUCAUCGAAUCUUUGAACGCACAUUGCGCCCUUUGGUAUUCCUCAGGGCAUGCCUGUUCGAGCGUCAUUUAAACCUUCAAGCUAAGCUUGGUGUUGGGUGACUGUCCGCUUCACGGCGGACUCGCCUCAAAAUUAUUGGCGGCCGGUACAUUGGCUUCGAGCGCAGCAGAAACGCGAACUCGGGCCCGUCGUAUUGGCUCCCAGAAGCUAUCUUCACAAUUUUGACCUCGGAUCAGGUAGGGAUACCCGCUGAACUUAAGCAUAUCAAUAAGCGGAGGA
RNAcentral lists this unclassified non-coding RNA (332 nucleotides) under soil metagenome. RNAcentral's name for it is "partial contains 5.8S ribosomal RNA, internal transcribed spacer 2, and large subunit ribosomal RNA". The stretch from base 1 to 120 matches the Rfam family "5.8S ribosomal RNA", at positions 35 to 154 of the family's 154-position model. The record is from RNAcentral.